This 768-nucleotide ribosomal RNA is filed under the name uncultured organism. Its description in RNAcentral is "bacterial SSU rRNA". It matches the Rfam family "Bacterial small subunit ribosomal RNA", at positions 35 to 823 of the family's 1533-position model. The record is from RNAcentral.
GCUUGCGAUGUGCCUAAGGUAUGCAAGUCGAACGAUUCCUGUAUCUUCGGAUACAGGGAGUGGCAAACGGCUGAGUAACGCGUAGGAACCUACCCCAAACUCGAGUAUAGCCCCGCGAAAGCGGGGGUAAUCCUCGAUAGCCCGUGAAGUAUUUUACUUCACGGUAAAGCUUUUGCGGUUUGGGAUGGGCCUGCGUCCUAUCAGGUAGUUGGUGAGGUAAAUGCUCACCAAGCCUAUGGCGGGUAGCUGGUCUGAGAGGAUGGUCAGCCAGACUGGGACUGCGACACGGCCCAGACUCCUACGGGAGGCAGCAACUAGGAAUUGUGCGCAAUGGACGAAAGUCUGACGCCGCGACAUCGCGUGGAGGAUGAAGGUCUUCGGAUUGUAAACUCCUUUUCUUACCGAACAAGUUCUGAGUGUAGGUAAGGAAUAAGUGCCUGCUAACCACGUGCCAGAAGCAUCGGUAAUACGUGGGGCACGAGCGUUAUCCGGAUUUACUGGGCGUAAAGAGAAGCGUAGGCGGCUCAAUAAGUUUGGUGUUAAAUCUUCCGGCUCAACCGGAAACAAGCACCGAAAACUAUCGAGAUUGAGUCGAGUAGGGAAGAGGGGAAUUCCUGGUGGAGCGGUUAAAUGCGUAGAUAUCAGGAGGAAUACCAAGGGCGAAGGCACCUCUUUGGACUCGUACUGACGCUGAGGCUCGAAAGCGUGGGUAGCAAAACGGAUUAGAUACCCGUGUAGUCCACGCCGUAAACGAUCCCUGUUAGAUGU